CGAGCGGUAACAGGAAUUAUGCUUGCUAAUUUGCUGACGACGCGGCGGACGGGUGAGUAACGCGUAAGAAUCUGCCUAGUAGUGGGGGACAACAUGGGGAAACGCAUGCUAAUACCGCAUACGCCCUACGGGGGAAAGGAGGGGAUCUUCGGACCUUUCGCUAUUAGAUGAGCCUGCGUGAGAUUAGCUAGUUGGUGGGGUAAAGGCCUACCAAGGCGACGAUCUCUAGCUGGUCUGAGAGGAUGAUCAGCCACACUGGGACUGAGACACGGCCCAGACUCCUACGGGAGGCAGCAGUGGGGAAUAUUGGACAAUGGGCGCAAGCCUGAUCCAGCCAUGCCGCGUGUGUGAAGAAGGCCUUAGGGUUGUAAAGCACUUUCAGGAGUGAGGAAGGUUACAUAGUUAAUACCUGUGUAAUUUGACGUUAACUCCAGAAGAAGCACCGGCUAACUCUGUGCCAGCAGCCGCGGUAAUACAGAGGGUGCGAGCGUUAAUCGGAAUUACUGGGCGUAAAGCGCGCGUAGGCGGUUUGUUAAGUCGGAUGUGAAAUCCCAGGGCUCAACCUUGGAAUGGCACCCGAUACUGGCAGGCUAGAGUACGGUAGAGGGGUGUGGAAUUUCCUGUGUAGCGGUGAAAUGCGUAGAUAUAGGAAGGAACAUCAGUGGCGAAGGCGUCCCCCUGGACCGAUACUUACCC
This 696-nucleotide ribosomal RNA is filed under the name Marinomonas sp. R726. RNAcentral describes it as "bacterial SSU rRNA". It matches the Rfam family "Bacterial small subunit ribosomal RNA", at positions 63 to 746 of the family's 1533-position model. The record is from RNAcentral. Lineage: Bacteria; Pseudomonadati; Pseudomonadota; Gammaproteobacteria; Oceanospirillales; Oceanospirillaceae.